This is a long non-coding RNA of Sander lucioperca (pikeperch), 423 nucleotides long. RefSeq lists it as uncharacterized. NCBI's taxonomy places the organism in Eukaryota, Metazoa, Chordata, Actinopteri, Perciformes, Percidae. The transcript has 4 exons. The record is from RefSeq and is a predicted model, not a curated record.
UCAAAUAUUGCACCUGUCAAUACAGUGAUACACCAUCAAUACGAAAUAUUCUGUAGCCUAUUAUGCUGUCAAUACUGCCGACGUUGUCUUUGCUUAAUCAAAUAUAUGGUUGAAGAACACGCUAUUAUUUCAUUUUAUCAAUGGGAAACAUACAUGUGUACAGACAAGGCCAGCAGCAGCAGCACCGUGUCAGACAUGUUUCUGGUGUGCAAAGACACGCCACGCAACCAACACGCAACAGAAAUGCCACGCUCACGCCACGCAGGCAGUGUGCAGGAGCCCUAACACAUUGGCAUGAUGGUUCAAAUAUGACACCUUGAAAGAUGCAUUAAAGUAAACAGACUGACACAUGAAUAGACAAGGAGAUUGCUUUCUCCUUGGUAAAAGUAUCCCAAGAAAAUUUUGUGGCCAUGAAAUGAGAAA